Molecule: long non-coding RNA, 9269 nt
Organism: Globicephala melas (long-finned pilot whale)
Lineage: Eukaryota; Metazoa; Chordata; Mammalia; Artiodactyla; Delphinidae
Source: RefSeq, a predicted model, not a curated record
UUGUGCCUCCUCCGGCGCGGGGGCGGGGGCUUCGGGUGGGACGCCCGGCUCAGCGUCUCUGCUGAGAGGAGCUCGGUCUCCUUAGGACUCGCCGGGGUUUCGGCUUCAGGACAAAGUGGGGCUGCGUCCACGCUGACUAGGGAACAGGUUUCCUGAGGACCCAGGUGAUGCCUGAGGGAAAGCCAGCAUCUGUUCUCAGGCCCAAGUGCCUCAGUUUUCCUUUGGGAAUUACAUGUCACGUGCUUCCAGUCCAAACAGUUGCAGAAGGAUGACCCCAUGUUCCACCCAGCUGGAAGAUGGAUUUACAACCCACAUCUAGCCAGUCCCAUUUUCCAUCUUCUGGUGAUGGGUCAAGGAUGAGAAUGCAACCCAAGCCAGAUCAAAGGCAUUUAAAACCAUGACUUUCUUGGAAUCCAAGAAAAGGAGAAACUCUUUCUCAGAAAAUGGAUGGAUCUGAGAGGACAUGCGGUCAUCAUGUCUGUUUAGACUCUUCUGGGCUCUGACAGUUGCUCAGACUCUCCUUGUUUCCAUGACCUUGACAGCGUGGAAGAGGGCUGCUCAGGACUCCUAGGCCCCUCCGGUGUGCAUCAUUUUCCCUGCAGGAUCACUGAGUACCUCCAGACCCCUGUGGGCCUGCUGAGCAACAUCGAGGCCCAUAGGUUCCUUGGAGGUCUUCUGUGUAUGACGAGUGAUGGGCAACACACUGCACGUUACUUCAGGAGAGCUACAUUGCCAGAGCCCUCGGACAGCAUGUGGACCACAUUUAUAGCCCGUCCAACAUGCCAUGGAAGUCUUCAUCAGGGCUCUCGUCUGAGCUGCCAUGACAAAACACUCUGCUUAGAAUUUUUCUAGGACCUUGUACCUGAAGUGACUAUACUCAGGUAGGAAGUCAGCAUCCUACCAAGCUGUGUGGUUAAUGGGACAUUAAAUGGGAGCAGUUGCCUUGAGGAAAGACCCUGAAUUGCCGUGCAGAAGCGGAGACGUGCAACAGUUUCCAUGAGGCCGUAGCCACUGCUCUGCAUUAUCUUAACUGCAGUUCGCUUUUCAGGACACCUAGGAACUUCGCGUGGGCACCGUAUUCCUGGCAGGAACAGUGACUAAGCCUAGGCUCCCUUGGACCUGCUAAGCAACUGUCAGGUCUGUAACCCUUCGGAGCCACUCUGUGUAUGCCGAGUGUAUCGCAACACACUGCACUCCUUCAUGGGACAGCUUGAAAUCCCCAGCUCUCCCAGAGUUUCUCGGACACCCUUUUGGCACGUCCAACAUGCCGGGGAAGUCUGACUCAAUGCCCUAGUCUGAGCUGCACUGAGAAAAACCCUCAGCUUCGAAUUCCUUCUGGGACCUCCUGCCUGAAGUCACCCUGCCUCCAGGAGAAAGUCAGCUUGCGUUUAGACUACCACUAAAUCCCAGUUCUUCGUGUAACACUGCAGGCUUAUGAAGAGCCACGGGCCCGGAUGCCUAGCUAGGGCGUACCUUGUUUGAGGCAGUUUGCUAGAUGCAGAGCACCCUGCUUCCAGGAGUGAUUCAGGGAAGGAGCCACUGCGUUACCUGUGUCUCUUUUGACAUGAUAGAAACCACAGGGAUGUAUGCUACGUGUGCCCAUGGAAAUGGGGGCCUGAUGGAGCAAGCCUUGCUUUCCCAUUUUGAAAGCUUCAUGCAUGGUGCCUUGAAGGACCUGAAAUUCACUGCUGUUGACAGACCACUAGCCACUGUACAUCUAGCUCUGGGAAUCAAAUGAGUUUCCUCUAUCUAAACCAGGUGCUUCCGUGGCCGGUGUAGAGCUCAGCCUGCCAUGCUCUAGAGCUAAACGGAAACUCAACGUGAGUACCUGCCUGGAAGGAAGGCCCAGAGUAUCCGUACAGAACGGGAGGCGUGCAGCUGUUUCUAUGCGGUCUUAGUCGCUGUUCUGCUGUAUUUUAAAGGGAGUACCCUUUUCAGGACUCCUAGGCCCCUCGGGUGUGCAUCAUUUCCCUCCAGGAUCACUGAGUACCUCCAGACCCCUGUGGGCCUGCUGAGCAACAUCGAGGCCCAUAGGUCGGUCCCUCGGAGGCCCUCUGUGUAUGCCGAGUGAUGGGGAAAUCUCUGCACGUUCCUUAAGGAGAGCUACAUUUUCAGAGCCCUCGAACUGCCUCAGGACCACAUUUCUGGCCAGUGCAACGUGUCAUGGAAGUCUUCGUCAUGGCCGUCGUCUGAGCUGCCAUGGGAAAACAUUUUGCUUACAAUUCUUCCAGGACCUCGUACUUGAAGUCACUCCACUCGAGGAGAAAUUCACCAUCCUACUAUGCUGUGUUGCUAACGGGACACUCAGUGUGAGCACUGGCCUCAAGGUAAGGCCCUGAAUUGCCGUGCAGAAGCCAAGGCAUGCAGGAGUUUACAUGACGCCGAAGACACUGCUCCACAUUAUCUUAAUGGCAGUACGCUUUUCAGGACACCUAGGAGCCUCGCGUGGGCAUGCUAUUCCCAGCAGCAACAGUGAGUCCCUCCAGGCCCCACUGGGCCAGUUAAGCAACUUCCAGGCCCGUACACUUUCGGAGCCACACUGUGUAUGUCGAGUAUAGGGCAACACACUGCACUCCUUCAUGAGACAGCAUGAAAUCCCCAGCACUCCCAGAAUUUCGUGAACACUGUUCUAGCACGUCCAACAUGACGCUGAAGUCGGAUUCAUUGCCUUAGUCUGAGUUACACUGAGAAAACCCUCGGCUUUGCAUUGCAUCUAGGAUCUCCUGCCUGAAGUCACCCUGCCUCCAGGAGAAAGUUGGCUUUUGUUCUGAAUGCCACCAAACCCCAGUUCUUCAUGUAAAACUGCAGGCUAUGAAGAGCCACAGGCCCAGAGACGUAGCUAGGGCGUACUUUGGUUGAGGCAGUUGGCUAGAUGCAGAACACCCUCCUUCGAGGAGUUGAUUCAGGGAAGGAACCCCUGGGUAACCUGUGUCUCUUUUGACUUGUUAGAAACCACAUGGAUGUAUGCUGUGUGUGCCCAUGGAAAUGGGGGCCUGAUGGAUCUAGCCUUGCUUUCCCAUUGUGAAAGCUCCAUUCAUGCUGCCUUGAAGCGACCUGAAAUUCACUGCUGUUGACUGGCCUCUAGCUACUGUACGCCUGGCUCUGGGAAGAAAAUAAGUUUUCUCUAGCUAAACUUGGUGCUUCCAUGGCCAGGGUGGAGCUCAUCCUGCCAUUCUCUAGAUAUAAAGGGAAACGCAACGUGAGUACUUGCCUGAGGAAAGUCCCUGAGUAUUCGUACAGAAAGGGAGGCAUGCAGCUGUUUCCAUGAGGUCUUAGUCGCUGUUCUGCUGUAUUUUAAAGGAAGUACCCUUUUCAGGACUACUAGGCCCCUCGGGUAUGCAUCAUUUCCCUCCAGGAUCAGUGAGUAGCUCCAGACCCCUGUGGGCCUGCUGAGUAACAUCAAGGCCCAUAGGUCGGUCCCUCGGAGGCCCUCUGUGUAUGCCGGGUUAUGGGCAACACACUGCAUGUUCCAUAAGGAGAACUACAUUUCCAGAGCCCUCAAAAAGCCUCAGGACCAUAUUUCUUGCCAGUCCGACGUGCCAUGGAAGACUUUGUCAAGGCCAUUGUCGGAGCUGCCAUGGGAAAGCAUUCUGCUUACAAUUCUUCGAGGACCUCGUACCUGAAAUCUCUCUGAUCGAGAAGAAAUUCACCAUCCGACCGUGCUGUGUCACUAACGGGACACUCAGCGUGAGCACUUGCCUGUAGGUUAAUCCUUGAAUUUCCGUGCGGAAGCGGAGGCGUGCAGCAGUUUCCCUGAGGCUUUGGCUCUGCUGUGCAUUAUCUUAACGGCAGUACGCUUUUCAGGACACCUAGGAGUUUCACGUGGGCACCCUGUUCCCGGCAGGAAGAGUGAGUCGCCCCAGGCCCCCCCUGGGCCUGCUAAGCCACUUGCAGGCCCAUAGCCCUUUGGAGCCACCCUGUGUAUGCCACGUACAGGGCAGCACACUGCACUCCUUCCUGGGACAGGUUGAAAUCCCCAGCACUCUCACAGGUUCACGAACACGGUUCUAGCUCGUCCAACAUGCCCUGGAAGUCUGACUCAUAGCCCUAGUCUGAGCUGCACUGAGAAAAACCCUCGGCUUCGAAUUCCAUCUAGAACCUCCUGCCUGAAGUCACCCUGCCUCCAGGAGAAACUCGGCUUGCGUUCCGACUGCCACUAAAGCCAGGCUAUGUAUGCCGAUUAUAGGGCAACACACUGCCCUCCUUCAUGGGACAACUUGAAAUCCCCAGCACUCCCAGAGUUCCACAAACACUGUUCUAGAAAAUCCAACAUGCCAGGGAAGUCUGACUCAUUGCCCUAGUCUGAGCUGCACUGAGAAAAUCCCUCGGCUUCGCAUUCCAUUUAGGACCUCGUGCCUGAAGUCACCCUCCCUCCAGCAGAAAGUCGGCUUGCGUUCUGACUGCCACUAAAGCCCAGGUCUUCGUGUAACACUGCAGGCUUUUAAAGAGCCACAGGCCCAGAGCCCUAGCUAGGGUGUUCCUUGGUUGAUACAGUUCGCUAGAUGCAGAACACCCUGCUUCGAGGAGUUGAUUCAGGGAAGCAACCACCGGGUAACGUGUGUCUCUUUUGACUUUUUAGAAACCACAAGGAUGUGUGCUGCAUGUGCCCAUGGAAAUGGUGGCCUGAUGGAACUAGCCUUGCUUUCCCAUUUUGAAAGCUCCUUUCAUGCUGCCUUGAAGCUACUUAAAAUUCACUUUUGUUGACAGGCCUCUAGCCAGUUAUAGGCCUGGCUCUGGGAAGAAAAUGAGUUUCCUCUAUCUAAACCAGGUGCUUCCAUGGCCGGUGUAGAGCUCAGCCUGCCAUACUCUAGAGCUAAACGGAAACUCCACGUGAGUACCUGCCUCAAAGAAAGGCCUAGAGUAUCCAUACAGAAAGGGAGGCAUGCAGCUGUUUCCAUGAGGUCUUAGUUGCCGUUCUGCUUUAUUUUAAAGGAAGUACCCUUUUCAGGACUCCUAGGUGCCUCGGGCAUGCAUCAUUUCCCUCCAAGAUCACUGAGUACCUCCAGACCCCUGUGUUCCUGCUGAGCAACAUCUAGGCCCAUAGGUUGAUCCCUUGGAGGCCCUCUCUGUAUGCCGAGCGAUCGGCAACACACUGCACGUUCCUUAAGGAGAGCUACAUUUCCAAAGCCCUCGAACAGCCUCAGGACCACAUUUCUGGCUAGUCCGAUGUGCCAUGGAAUUCUUCAUCAUGGCCGUCAUCGGAGCUUCCAUGGGGAUAUAUUCUGCUUACAAUUCUUCUAGGACCUCAUACCUGAAGUUACUCUGCUCUAGGAGAAAUUCAGCAUCCUACCAUGCUGUGUCACUAACGGAAUACUCAGCGAUGCGCUUGCCUUAAGGUAAGGCCCUGAAUUGCCGAGCAGAAGUGGAGGUGUGCAGCAGUUUCCAUAAGGCCGUAGCUGCUACUCUGCAUUAUCUUAACAGCAGUACGCUUUUCAGGACACCUAGGAGUCUCGCGUGGGCACCGUAUUCCCCGCAGGAACACUGAGUACCCCUAGGCCCCCCUGGGCCUGCGAAAUAACUUCCAUGCCCGUUGCCCUUCGGAGCCACUCUGUGUAUGCUGAGCGUAGGGCAACACACUCCACUGCUGCUUGGGACAGCUUGAAAUCCCCAGCACUCUCAUAGGUUUACAAACACUGUUCUAGCACGUCCAACGUGCCAGGGAAGUCUGACUCAUUGGCCUAGUCUGAGCUGCACUGGGAAACACUCUCGGCUUCGCUUUCCAUCUAGGACCUCCUGCCUGAAGGCACCCUGCCUCCUGGAGAAAGUCGGCUUGCGUUCUGACUGCCACGAAAGCCCAGUUCUUUGUGUCACACGGCAUGCUUUUGAAGAGGCACAGCCCCGGAGGCCUAGCUAGGGCAUACCUUGGUUGAGGCAGUUCACUACAUGCCGAACACCCUGCUUAGAGGAUUUUAUUUGAUUCAGGGAAGGAACCACUUGGCAACCUGUGUCUCUUUUGACUUGUUGUAAAGCACAGGGUUGUAUGGUGCGUGUGCUCAUGGAAAUGGUGUCCUGAUGGAACUAACCUUGCUUUCCCAUUUUGAAAGCUCCAUUCAUGCUGCCUUAAAGCUACGUGAAAUUCACUGCUGUGGACAGGACUCUAGCCACUAUACGCCUGGCUAUGAGAAGAACAUGAGUUUCCUGUAUCUAAACCAGGUGCUUCUAUGACCGGUGUGGAGCUCAGCCUGCCAUGCUCUAGAGCUAAAGGGAAAUUCAAUGUGAGUACUUGCCUCGAGGUAUGGCCCUGAGUAUCCAUGCAGAAAGGGAGGCACACAACUGUUUCCAUGAAGUCUUAGUCGCUGUUCUGCUUUAUUUCAUCGGGAGUACCCUUUUUAGGACUCCUGGGCCCCUCGGGUUUGCAUAAUUUUCCCUCCAAGAUUACUGAGUACCUCCAGAUCCCUGUGGGGCUGCUGAGCAACAUCGAGGCCCAUAGGUCGGACCCUCGGAGGCCCUCUGUUUAUCGAGUGAUGGGCAACACACUGCACCUAUCUUAAGGGGAGCUGCCAUGAGCAAACCUUCUGCUUACAAUUCGUCGAGGACCUCGUACCUGAAGUCACUCUGCUGGGGGAGAAAUUUGCCAUCCUGCCAUGCUGUGUCGCUAACGGGACCCUCAGCAAGAACACUCGCCUGUAGGUAAUGCUGCUGAAGCGGAGGCAUGCAGCAGUUCCCAUCAGGCUGCAGCUGCUGCUCUGCAUUAUCUUAACCGCAGUACCCUUUUCAGGAGACCUAAGAGACUCGGGUCGGCACCAUAUUCCCGGCCAGAAGCCUGAGUACCCACAGGCCUCCCUGGGCCAGUUAAGCAACAUCCAGUCCCGUAGCCCUUCGGAGUCACUCUGUGUAUGUUGCGUGUAGGGCAACAGCUUGCACUCUUUCUUGGGACAGCUUGAGAUCCCCAGUACGCCCACAGGUUCACGAACACUGUUCUGGUACGUCCAGCAUGCCGUGGAAGUCUGACUCAUUGCCCUAGUCUGAGCUGAACUGACAAAAACCCUUGGAUUUGCAUUCCAUCUAGGAUCUCUUGUCUGAAUUCACCCUGCCUCCGGGAGAAAGUCGGCUUGCUUCCAACUCUAUCUAAAGCCUAGUUCUUCGUGUAACACUGCAGGCUUUUGAAGAGCCACAGGCCCAGAGGCCUAGCUAGGGUGUUCCUUGGUUGAUACAGUUCGCUAGAUGCAGAACACCCUGCUUCGAGGAGUUGAUUCAGGGAAGGAACCCCUGGGUAACCUGUGUCUCUUUGGACUUGUUAGAAACCACAGGGAUGUGUGCUGCGUGUGCGCAUGGAAAUGGGGGCCUGAUGGAACGAGCCUUGCUUUCCCAUUUUGAAAGCUCCAUUCAUGCUGCCUUGAAGCUACCUGAAAUUUCUGCUGUUGAGAGGCCUCUAGCCAUUGUAGGCAUGGUUCUGGGAAGGUAAUGAGUUUCCUCUAGCUAAACCGGGUGCUUCCAUGGCCGGGGUGGGGCUCAGCCUGCCAUGCUCUACAGCUAAAGGGAAACUCAUCGUGAGUAUGUGCCUGAGGAAAGGCCCUGAGUAGCCGUGCAGAAAGGGAGGCAUGCCGCUGCUUCCAUGAGGUCUUACUCGCUGUCUGCUGUAUUUUAGGGGAACUACCCUUUUUAGGACUCCUAGGGCCCUCGGGUGUGCAUCCUUUUCCCUUGAAGAUCACUGAGUACCUCCAGACUGCUGUGGGCCUGCUGAGCAACAUCGGGGCCCAUAGGUCGGUCACUCAGCGUCCCCCUGCGUAUGCUGAGUGAUGGGAAACACACUGCACGUUCCUUAAGGCGAGCUACAUUCCCAUAGUCUGCGAACAUCCUUCAGGGCCACAUUUCUGGCCAGUCCAACCUGCCAUGGAAGUCUUUGUCAUGGCCACCGUCUGAGCUGUCAUGGGACAACAAUCUGCUCAGAAUUCUUCGAGGACCUCGUACCUGAAUUCACUCUGCUCGAGGAGGAAUUCAGCAUCCUACCAUGCUGCGUCACAACUGGGACACUCAGCAUGAGCACUUGCCUCAAGGAUCACUGAGUACCUCCAGACCCCUGUGGGCCUGCUGACCAUCAUCGAGGCCCAUAGGUCAGUCCCUCGGAGGCCCUCUGCAUAUGCCGAGUGAUGGGCAACACACUGCACGUUCCUUAAGGAGAGCUACAUUUCCAUAGCCCACGAAUAGCCUUCAGGACCACAUUUCUGGCUAGUCUGAUGUGACAUGGAAGUCUUUGUCAUGGCCCUCGUCUGAGCUGCCAUGAUAAAACACUCUGCUUAGAAUUCUUCGAGGACUUCGUACCUGAAGUCACCCUUCUCAAGGAGAAAGCAUGCUACCAUGCUGUUUCACUAACGGGACGCUCAGCGUGCGCACUUGCCUCGAGGUAAUGCCUACUGCGUGCUGUGACCCAUAUCACCUGUGAGGGCACAAGCCACAAGCAUAUGUUGGGUCCUGUUAGCCUCCCAGCCAGUCCCUGAAGGUGAGGGCGGCCCUGUAGACCCCAGCCCUCUCCACCACGCCUAGUAGGUGGAAGACCCACUUCUCCUUGCCAUUCCAGAAGUGGUUCUGGGGCUGUCCUGGGAGGGCUUCUGGGGUUACGCAGGCUGAGCCCCUGUUACUAAGUCCCCACUUCCCCACAAGAGCCUCCAGAGCAAGCUGUUUGCCCUGUUGCCUGAAUGACCGCCCACCAGUUUUCUCAAGAAAGAAUCAGCGGUUUCUGUAGCAGCGUCUGCAGGCAGCUGUGCAUCUGGGCCCACGUUCACAUCUUCUGUGUAAACACUGAGAACCUUCCCUGACACGUGCCCCCAGCUGACCCCCUCCGCAUGUCGACCACAGGCCCCAGUGUGGGCGUCAGACUGGCCGCCCGUCUCAGCCUCCUGUUGUUGUCAGAGCUGCUCCAGGCUCUGUUCAGGACCCGUGUACCCACUUUUCACAGGGCUGUCCUGCACCCCCACCUUCAGCAGGAGUUCCCCUAAGUAUUUAAGUUAAGGGGUCCAGAGAUAAGAAAGGACGCUACAAACAAACAGAUGGAACCAGCUGGGACCAAGAUGGCAAUGAGUGUGACCUCCAACUGACCCCGAAUCUCAUCACAUGUUGAAUUUACUACAUCAGCAUAUUAAGUGACACACCCACCGGCGGCCAUGGCUGGACAUGAAGGACCAGAAACGGGUAAAAGGAGGUGGUACCCCAGCCCCUUGGAAGAAGCCCCGCCCCUUCCCCGGAAGGCCUCUUCAUCCCAUCACUAGCCUCCCUCCUCCUCCCUUUGCCUUUACUCUUUAAAAUUAAACCACUCUCUCCAGGAGGGCCAG